CGGUGAUCCGGACUUCCUCAGGGGUAUCGUCCGUUUCAGUCCUCAGUGCAGGAUCAAUCUGAUCGCUCCCGGGUGCCCGCUCUCUUUUUAAACCACAUGGCCACUCCUUCUUUUGUCCGUGGGCCAAUCCGAUACUCUUAGUUACAGCUGAAACUCCUUUUCGGGAAAUUUGGUGACGUCACGUGUUCUGACGUACGGAUGGAUGUAAGCGUGUGCGUUC
This is a non-coding RNA of Pelobates cultripes (western spadefoot toad), 220 nucleotides long. The record is from the annotation of a GenBank genome assembly. NCBI's taxonomy places the organism in Eukaryota, Metazoa, Chordata, Amphibia, Anura, Pelobatidae.